GCAUUUGUAUGGUCUGGAGAAGCUUACUUGUCUUAUAGUUUAGCUGCUUUAUCUGUCUUUGGUUUUAUCACUUGUUGUUUAGUAUGGUUCAAUAAUACAGCUUAUCCGAGUGAGUUUUAUGGACCCACCGGGCCAGAAGCUUCUCAAGCUCAAGCAUUUACUUUUCUAG
RNAcentral lists this ribosomal RNA (169 nucleotides) under Triticum aestivum (bread wheat). Its description in RNAcentral is "partial small subunit ribosomal RNA". The record is from RNAcentral. Lineage: Eukaryota; Viridiplantae; Streptophyta; Magnoliopsida; Poales; Poaceae.